This 1512-nucleotide long non-coding RNA is filed under the name Taeniopygia guttata (zebra finch). Its description in RNAcentral is "lncRNA (ENSTGUG00000025136.1)". The record is from RNAcentral. Lineage: Eukaryota; Metazoa; Chordata; Aves; Passeriformes; Estrildidae.
CCUUGCGGCCGCUGUGAGGGGAGGCGGCUCCGUGAGGGAGCGGCGGGAACGGGACCGGCAAUGGGAGCGGGACCGGCAAUGGGAACGGGAAAAGGAACGGGAACGGGAAAAGGAACGGGAACGGGACCGGGAACAGCACCAGGAGCAGCGACGGGACCGGGAUCCGAACCGCCAACGAGCGCCAACAGGACCAGGUCUGGUAAUGCGGCUGCGGCCCUGCCCCCAGCGCGGCCGCCCUUGGCCUUUUCCCCGUUACGAUUUUUCCAUGUACUUUCCAACAUAUUUCCCAAAUAUUUUUAAAUCAAAAUUUUAAUGCUUUAAAAAAUAUAUAUAUUUAUAUUUUUUCCCCCCGCGGGUGUAAGUUCCCUGUUGUUGUCCCCGCCUGCCUCUCCCUCAGGGCAGAAUUCCCUUUUCCCUCUGCGACCCCGGUUUUGGCUCCCAGCCCUGCCGCUGCACCUCUGUGAAAAUAUUUCAUUAUUGGCUUUUCGCUGAUGGUACAAUGAAUAUUGUGUGUGUCAUGUUAGAAAGUGAUUCUGUAUUAAUUCUCUUAAGUAGUUUUUUUUAGCGUUCAGGAGCACACAUCAUCACAGGAUAUGAUUAUAUGCAGAUUAUGUGCUUUUAUUGAGAGCUUUGGGAAUCAGGUACAGACCCAAACCUGACUCUGACAUGGCUCUUGAGCUGAAUGUAUUUUAUAUUCUAUCCUUAUAUAACUUACAUAUUAAUUAUUAAACUUAUAUUGUUCUAUUGUAUACAUUGACUUUAUCCAAGCAUGAGUUUCUCGUCAUCUUUCUCAGGCCCCUGACCACAGUUUCUCAUCAUUAUUCUUAUGAUUAAACAGUAAUUAUAUUUAAUUACUAAACAAUCAUCACAUCUAACAAUUAUAUCAUUUAUCAUGUACUAGCCACACAGGUGCAGUUCUAGCAAGGUACAAGGCCUACAUGUUCCCAGGGUAUUUUUUUCAGGGCCUACUAAGCUUAAUUUUCCUUUUAACCCUAAAUCCCCAUGAUUUUAAAACCCUUUUACUACCAGUGUGAUAAAUGUAGUUUUAGGCUACAACAUAACAUUAAAAUAGAAAGUCUGUGAUACAGAAUUUGUUACAAGCUUGAGCAGGAAGAUGAGAUAAUCAAGAAACUCUUCACACAGAGAUGUCAGUGUGCACCUGAAAAAAAUUACUGUCUCCUUAUAAGAAAAAACAAACAUUCUUCCACCUCUCCAUCUUUUUGGAACCACCAAGAUUAAGGAGAAGUUGACAAAAACCAGAAAAUUUCUUAAUUUGCAAUGAAUUUAUGCCUCAUGUAUAUGAGAUAUAUGAAUAUGCAACAGGCUGUUGCUUUUAAGGUUAUUCUUUGUUCACAAAAGAUGCUUUUCAUGACUUAGUGUCCAAAAACAGCCGGAUGUCCGUAAUUCUUUGCUUUUUAUUGUCUUGUAGUUCUCCUAACUCUAAAUUUUACUACUCUAAUUGCAUUACUAUUUUGAUAAUCAUUUUAUUAUUAUUAAACUUUUAAAAAUUUG